CCUGAUGAACCAAACUACUCAGUAAUCUCCUCCAUGAAGACUGGGGAUCAGCCUGAUGAACCAAACUACUCAGUAAUCUCCUCCAUGAAGACUGGAGGUCAGCCUGAUGAACCAAACUACUCAGUAAUCUCCUCCAUGAAGACUGGGGAUCAGCCUGAUGAACCAAACUACUCAGUAAUCUCCUCCAUGAAGACUGGGGAUCAGCCUGAUGAACCAAACUACUCAGUAAUCUCCUCCAUGAAGACUGGAGGUCAGCCUGAUGAACCAAACUACUCAGUAAUCUCCUCCAUGAAGACUGGGGGUCAGCCUGAUGAACCAAACUACUCAGUAAUCUCCUCCAUGAAGACUGGAGGUCAGCCUGAUGAACCAAACUACUCAGUAAUCUCCUCCAUGAAGACUGGAGGUCAGCCUGAUGAACCAAACUACUCAGUAAUC
This 435-nucleotide long non-coding RNA is filed under the name Salmo salar (Atlantic salmon). RNAcentral describes it as "lncRNA (ENSSSAG00000110349.1)". The record is from RNAcentral. Lineage: Eukaryota; Metazoa; Chordata; Actinopteri; Salmoniformes; Salmonidae.